Long non-coding RNA from Pan paniscus (pygmy chimpanzee), 611 nucleotides. NCBI's taxonomy places the organism in Eukaryota, Metazoa, Chordata, Mammalia, Primates, Hominidae. The record is from Ensembl.
GGAGCCUCUUAAAUUUAUUAUGGUUAGACACCUCCUUCUUCAAUUAUCUAUGUUCAAGUCACAGAGAUUAAAAUAUGCUCCCUUGACUAAGUGGGAGUGAUACUUCAGAGGAGGAAUUAUCUUGUUCCAUAUUUACUUACCAGGUCAAGCAUCCAUCAUGCACCGUGUACACCACAGUGCACCACAGCUGAGACCAGCGUGGAUCCCACCAUCAGCAGCUUUUCCAAAGGACCCAGGCAAAAUGUUUCUUUUUGAGGCAGAGAAUUCUUCUAAAUGAUUGUUGGAACUUAGAAUUACUCAAGAUUAUUAUAACCGAGUGGCCAGAGGGAUAUGCUGCCAUUAUGUCCUUCAGCAUAAAGAACUGGUGACUUCUGUAAGUGUGGUGUUUCUGAGGGCAUCCUCUUCCACAUUUUUAGCGAAAUCUACCUCGAUACACACAGAUGCAAUGCUCACAGAGGCCAGAACGCUUCCCAGAAGCAGCCAAGGUAUUAACUUUGGGAUCCUGAAUUUCAACCAAAGAAAACAGGACUGAGUGAAGGCUGAAAUCUUGAGGCAGUAAAAUACAGAAAGAACAUAAUGAAGUACACAGAAUGAAGCUGAAGGAGAGUGCA